UGUAUAGAUGUUUCGAUCACGGGUCAGGAGGAACGCUGGCGGCGUGCCUAACACAUGCAAGUCGAGCGAGCUGGAGGUCAGAAUCCAGAGGGCAGAAUGAUAAAAAAAUGAAAGAAAUCGCCUCUCGCGAUUUCAACAUUGAAAUCUGCUUUCCGGUUUCUGGCUUCUAGUUAGCGGCGGAUGGGUGAGUAACGCGUGGGCAACCUGCCCUGUACAGGGGGAUAACAAUGGGAAACCAUUGCUAAUACCCCAUGACGCCUUUAGGGGGCAUCCCCUUAAGGCCAAAGAAAUUCGGUAUAGGAUGGGCCCGCGUUUGAUUAGCCAGUUGGUGGGGUAACGGCUCACCAAAGCAACGAUCAAUAGCCGGCCUGAGAGGGUGAACGGCCACACUGGAACUGAGACACGGUCCAGACUCCUACGGGAGGCAGCAGUGGGGAAUAUUGCACAAUGGGGGAAACCCUGAUGCAGCAACGCCGCGUGAGCGAUGAAGGUUUUCGAAUCGUAAAGCUCUGUCCUAAGGGAAGAUAAUGACGGUACCUUAGGAGGAAGCCCCGGCUAACUACGUGCCAGCAGCCGCGGUAACACGUAGGGGGCAAGCGUUAUCCGGAAUUAUUGGGCGUAAAGGGUGCGUAGGCGGCCUUAUGGGUCAGAGGUUAAAUACUAUAGCUUAACUAUAGUCCGCCUUUGAAACUAUAAGGCUUGAGUGCAGGAGAGGAGAGUGGUAUUCCUAGUGUAGCGGUGAAAUGCGUAGAUAUUAGGGAGGAAUACCAGUGGCGAAGGCGACUCUCUGGACUGCAACUGACGCUAAGGCACGAAAGCGUGGGUAGCGAACAGGAUUAGAUACCCUGCUAGUCCACGCCAUAAACGAUGAGUGCUAUGUGUUGGGGGUCAAACCUCGGUGCCGCAGCUAACGCAUUAAGCACUCCGCCUGGGGAGUACGUUCGCAAGAAUAAAACUCAAAGGAAUUGACGGGGACCCGCACAAGCAGCGGAGCAUGUGGUUUAAUUCGAAGCAACGCGAAGAACCUUACCUGGAUUUGACAUCCCUCUGACCGUCUCCUAAUCGAGACCUUUCCUUCGGGGACAGAGGAGACAGGUGGUGCAUGGUUGUCGUCAGCUCGUGUCGUGAGAUGUUGGGUUAAGUCCCGCAACGAGCGCAACCCCUAUUUUUAGUUGCCAUCAGGUAAAGCUGGGCACUCUAAAGAGACCGCCAAGGUAAACUUGGAGGAAGGUGGGGACGACGUCAAAUCAUCAUGCCCCUUAUGUCCAGGGCUACACACGUGCUACAAUGGCCGAUACAACGGGCAGCUAAGGAGCAAUCCGGAGCAAAUCCUAAAAAAUCGGUCCCAGUUCGGAUUGUGGGCUGCAAUUCGCCCAUAUGAAGUCGGAGUUGCUAGUAAUCGUGAAUCAGAAUGUCGCGGUGAAUGCGUUCCCGGGUCUUGUACACACCGCCCGUCACACCACGGAAGUCGGAAGCACCCGAAGCCAGCUACUUAACCGUAAGGAUGGGGCUGUCGAAGGUGAAGCCAAUGACUGGGGUGAAGUCGUAACAAG
This 1553-nucleotide ribosomal RNA is filed under the name uncultured bacterium. RNAcentral's name for it is "bacterial SSU rRNA". It matches the Rfam family "Bacterial small subunit ribosomal RNA". The record is from RNAcentral.